AGUGAGGAAAUUCAUCGCUCUAGGGUGUGACAUUUCGUCGCCCUAGAGUGGGGAGAUCCAUCAUUCU
Molecule: non-coding RNA, 67 nt
Organism: Cordylochernes scorpioides
Lineage: Eukaryota; Metazoa; Arthropoda; Arachnida; Pseudoscorpiones; Chernetidae
Source: the annotation of a GenBank genome assembly